This is a long non-coding RNA of Oncorhynchus mykiss (rainbow trout), 542 nucleotides long. RefSeq lists it as uncharacterized. The record is from RefSeq and is a predicted model, not a curated record. NCBI's taxonomy places the organism in Eukaryota, Metazoa, Chordata, Actinopteri, Salmoniformes, Salmonidae.
CCACUGGCCCAGCUUCGGGAAGCCUCCUCUGUGCAGAGUCUGGAGAGGAGAGUGGAGCGUUCAACCAUUCUGGGAGGGGUGCCCGUGCCUUAAAGCCUAGCACCCAGGUGUGUAUGUGGAGCAGGUAGGGGACGGUUCCUGGGCGCUGGGGAUGAGAUCCUGGAGGUGAACGGGGAGGCAGUGGCUGGACUGACCCUGGAUCAGGUGUCAGGUCUCAUGACCCGCAACAGCACCGCCUCUAUCCAUAUAUCCUGCCACUCCGUCGAAACCAGCGAUGAGCAAUGCAAUACUGCAAUAUUCUAUUAUCCAUUUCAAUAAAUUAAAAAACACUGGACACUGCCCUGUGAUGAUGUCAUGACGAAAACACGAGAAUGGAAAUAAGCAAGCAUAAUGAGAGAUUUGUUUAACUCUGGGAGAACCAAAGGAAGGACAUAAUCAACCUAAUUAUAUUUGUCCAUUAUUAGGCCUAGUCUUUGAAGAUUCAGGCAAAUGUAAGUACUGGUAAAUCCAAACUGAUGUCAAAUAAAACAGAGGAGAAAUAA